AAUUUUCCGCAAUGGGCGAAAGCCUGACGGAGCAAUACCGCUUGAGGGAAGAAUGCAUGUGGGUUGUAAACCUGUUUUAUCAGGGAAGAAUUUUGACUGUACCUGAUGAAUAAGCAUCGGCUAACUCCGUGCCAGCAGCCGCGGUAAUACGGGGGAUGCAAGCGUUAUCCGGAAUCAUUGGGGGUAAAGGGUCGGUAGGUGGUUUAGUAAGUGGGCUGUUAAAUAUUGGGGUUCAACCCUAAAACAGCAGUGGAAAAUACUAGAUUUGAGUAUAGUAAGGGCAAAGGAAAUUCCCAGUGUAGCGGGGAAAUGCUUAGAAUUUGGGAAGAACAACAGGAGGGAGAGCGCUUUGUGUGACAUUAUCUGACAUUCGGAGAGGAAAGGUAAGGGAGAAAAAGCAAUUAGAUCCCCGGUAGUCUCCACACUA
This 427-nucleotide ribosomal RNA is filed under the name uncultured marine bacterium. RNAcentral's name for it is "bacterial SSU rRNA". It matches the Rfam family "Bacterial small subunit ribosomal RNA", at positions 360 to 804 of the family's 1533-position model. The record is from RNAcentral.